RNAcentral lists this ribosomal RNA (495 nucleotides) under uncultured bacterium. Its description in RNAcentral is "partial 16S ribosomal RNA". It matches the Rfam family "Bacterial small subunit ribosomal RNA", at positions 28 to 507 of the family's 1533-position model. The record is from RNAcentral.
GAUGAACGCUGGCGGCGUGCCUAAUACAUGCAAGUAGAACGCUGAAGGAGGAGCUUGCUCUUCUGGAUGAGUUGCGAACGGGUGAGUAACGCGUAGGUAACCUGCCUGGUAGCGGGGGAUAACUAUUGGAAACGAUAGCUAAUACCGCAUGACAACAGUUAUUGCAUGAUAACUGUUUAAAAGGGGCAACUGCUCCACUACCAGAUGGACCUGCGUUGUAUUAGCUAGUUGGUGAGGUAACGGCUCAACAAGGCGACGAUACAUAGCCGACCUGAGAGGGGGGUCGGCCACACUGGGACUGGGACACGGCCCCGACUCCUACGGGAGGCAGCAGUAGGGGAUCUUCGGCAAUGGACGGAAGUCUGACCGAGCAACGCCGCGUGGGUGGAGAAGGUUUUCGGAUCGUAAAGCUCUGUUGUAAGAGAAGAACGAGUGUGAGAGUGGAAAGUUCACACUGUGACGGUAUCUUACCAGAAAGGGACGGCUAACUACGUG